GACACUCUCCCGUCUCCACCAAACACCUAGAAACCACCUUCAGGGAAGCGGCCCAAUUAAGCUCGGGCACAAGAAGCCCCCGCUGAGCUUUAGGGGGUUAACCUCAUCAUUCUCUCCUCUAUGAACAACCUUAAUUUAAUGAUUCCUUAGGUGGGGCGGAUGGGGAACCUAAAAAGCUUCCUUAAAAUUGUAUUUAACCUAAGUUGUGUUUUAUUUAUUUUGAUAUUUUAGUUUGAUUCCGUUUGUUAUCGAUUUAUAGAAAAAGUUACCGCAGGGAUAACAGCGUAAUCUUUCUGGAGAGAUCUAAUCGAAAGAAGGGUUUGCGACCUCGAUGUUGGACUAAGAUAUCCUAAGGGUGUAGAAGCUCUGAAGGGUGGCUCCUUCCGACCCAAUAUCCCCC
RNAcentral lists this ribosomal RNA (400 nucleotides) under Umbonium vestiarium. RNAcentral's name for it is "partial 16S ribosomal RNA". The stretch from base 69 to 400 matches the Rfam family "Bacterial large subunit ribosomal RNA", at positions 2080 to 2599 of the family's 2925-position model. Lineage: Eukaryota; Metazoa; Mollusca; Gastropoda; Trochida; Trochidae. The record is from RNAcentral.